UACGUAGGCAGCGAGCGUUGUUCGGAGUUACUGGGCGUAAAGGGUGUGUAGGCGGUUCUUUAAGUUUGGUGUGAAAUCUCCCGGCUCAACCGGGAGGGUGCGCCGAAUACUGAGGGACUCGAGUGCGGGAGAGGAAAGUGGAAUUCCUGGUGUAGCGGUGAAAUGCGUAGAUAUCAGGAGGAACACCGGUGGUGUAGACGGCUUUCUGGACCGUAACUGACGCUGAGACACGAAAGCGUGGGGAGCGAACCGG
This 253-nucleotide ribosomal RNA is filed under the name uncultured bacterium. RNAcentral's name for it is "partial 16S ribosomal RNA". It matches the Rfam family "Bacterial small subunit ribosomal RNA", at positions 524 to 776 of the family's 1533-position model. The record is from RNAcentral.